RNAcentral lists this ribosomal RNA (253 nucleotides) under uncultured bacterium. Its description in RNAcentral is "partial 16S ribosomal RNA". It matches the Rfam family "Bacterial small subunit ribosomal RNA", at positions 524 to 776 of the family's 1533-position model. The record is from RNAcentral.
UACGAACCGUGCGAACGUUGUUCGGAAUCACUGGGCUUAAAGGGCGCGUAGGCGGGCUCGCAAGUCAGGGGUGAAAGCCCGCGGCUCAACCGCGGAAGCGCCUUUGAUACUGCGGGCCUCGAGGGGGGUAGGGGCGUGCGGAACUUCCGGUGGAGCGGUGAAAUGCGUAGAUAUCGGAAGGAACACCGGUGGCGAAAGCGGCGCGCUGGACCCCCACUGACGCUGAGGCGCGAAAGCCAGGGGAGCAAACGGG